GUGGGGCACCUUUAGGAGAUGCUGUCCUUUUUGUCCUGCCUUGCUCCUGGGAUGCUGACCGCCGGCCUGUCAGCUUUCGGAGAAACAGGAAACGCUCGCAGGCUGGUCCACCCUUGGCACUCUUGGUUAUUUCCAGGUCCAGAAAGCAAUGUAAAACUCAUCCUGUUACGGCCUCACAUACAGUAUAUUGCAGCCAACAGGAAUUCAGUCAACUUUAGGACAUCCCAGCUGUACAUGUUACAUCAAGUCACCAGCUCACUGAUGCUAACCACGGCAUAAUUUGGUCUGGAGGAGACCGGAAGAAUUGAGAGAGUUCAAGACUUGUCCGUGAGUCCCCCAAAGGUCCCAUAGCCUGGGAACUGAGCCCAGCUCUGCCUAAAACCCAGGGAUUCAGGAAUGGGGGAUUUUCUAAGGCUGGUUUACUUCUUGCGUACAUGUACACAUGCACACACGCACUCACACACACACACACACGCAUGUACGUAAUUGUUUUGAGAGUCAAGCUUCUUCUUUACUGAGAGCUGCCUUUCCAUAAAAAGAGGUCAGUUGCUUCUUCUGGAAGCCAUGCUAGCCUUUGGCUGGCCCCAGAAUUUCUCCCAUUCGACCAGUCCCUCUCUGGGCUGGGAGUCACAAGCAUUGUUCCCAAGAGCUGCCUGGCACUGCUUUUCCUAAGGACUGGAAAUUUUUGAGAACAAGAGCCAGGAUAGACUUUUUGAAAUUCCUUACAAUACUUUCAAAAAUAUAUACACUUAAAAAGUAACCCAGUGGUGGUGUUCCCUGGUGGCACAGUGGGUUAAGGAUCCAGUGUUGUCACUGCAGUGACUUGGGUUGCUGCUGUGGCCUGGGUUUGAUCCCUGGCCUGGAAACUUACACAUGCCUCAAGCACAGUGUCUCCCCCUCCCCCCAAAGGUAACCCAAUGAACAGCAAACAUUUUCUAUACUUUUAAAGUGUCUCCUGAUCUUGGCUUAUGAUAUAAUCAUGCAUUUUUUAUAGACCCCCAUCUCUGUGUGUUUCUUUUGCAUUUUACUUUCUGUCUAAAUAUCCUGCAGUAUACACUGCAAAACAUUUCCAUGUGUUUCAGUUAUUUGUUACUGUGUAACAAACUUCCUCAAUAUUUAGUGGCUUAAAACAACCUUGAUGUAUUAUUUUUCAGGAUCCUGUGCGUUGGGGGCUGGGUGAUUCUUCUGCUCCAUAGGGUGUUACUCAGAUAGCUGCAUUUUGCUGGGAGCUCAGCUGGGCAGCUUUGUUCCUUUUCUUGAGCUGCUUCAUUCUUCCAGGUGGCCCCACACUCCUCCUGGCUAAACAGGACUUCUCAAGGCAGCUGGGUCCUAAGAGGGAACUUUCCAAGAGAACAGAUCUAAAGCAGAAGCACUUAUCAUGGCUGCUCCUGUGUCAUGCCUCCUUAAAGUCCUGUUGGCCAAGGCCAGGGACCAUGUGGGGGGACUACCCAAGGGCAUUGAUUCUAGGGGGGGCAGGCUUCCUGGGAUGGCACAUCCGCCACAAUGGAACAGUCUACCUCCACUUUCUUCUUAUUCCAGAACACUAGUCAUAGUUGUGGAUUUGAUAUUUUCAGGCUUAACCAUUUGAGAGCAAACCUGAUGUUAGGAUCGUGAUUUUGCAAGACUGAUAUUAGAAUUCUGCCUCCAGGCCAGUGCUGAAGUGAGCAUCACUUACUGGUGAGUGAGCCUGGCUGUCUACAGAGCACCUGACUCUUAUCAAGGGCUUGGAUGCUCCCCACUCAUCUUGGCUACAGGUUAGCUCUUGUGAAGUUGCAAGGGAGUGGGGGAGAAGACACCAGUUUUUCUUUGUAGAGAGAAAAAGGACCUCAGGUGAGGUAAAAACUAGCAAUGGUGGAAAAGAUGUGAGACAAAGCACAAGACACACAGGGACUCUCUGUGAUGACAUGAUCCUGAGGCUGAGGAGCUGGAUGUUUCCUAAUAUGCAUGUUUGAAGAUUAGCAAAAGUCUUGAAGCAUAGCCACUGCAAAUGUCAUGUAGCUACUGUUUUAAGUAAUACGUCUUUUGCUGAGGGAGGGAGGGAGGGAUAAACUAGAAGUAUGAGAUGAACAGAUAUACACAGCUAUAUGUAAGAUAAAUAACAAGGACCUAUUAUAUGGCACAAGGAACUAUAUUCAAUAUCUUAUAAUAACCUAUUAUGGAAAAGAAUCUGAAAAAGAAGAUAUAUAUAUGUCUCUGUCUGAAUCACUUUGGUGUUUACUUGAAAGUAACACUAUAUUGUAAAUCAACUAUACUUCAGUUGAAAAAAAGGCUUUUGCUGAUAUCAAUAUAAUUUAACUAUAAAAGGAGACUAAUUCACCCGGAAGCACCCCUCCCAUCUCCAGAUCCCCUUUCUGAAUACCUUUCAAGGAAGGGCCACACAGCCAGGGACUACUCAUCUGUCCAACAGCAGUCAGUGAUGUACUCAUGACUUUGCCACUUGUGGUUUUUUCCCCAGGCUCUGGUCAUAUUCCUGCACGAUUCAUGGUAAGUGUAAGCACAGGGUAGGCACACUUUGUAUUCUUUUAAAAACUCAUCAAACACACCUUUCUUUUUCCUAGUCCAUGUCACAGUUUACUCAACUCUUCCUAUUGCAAGUAGAUAUCUGGGCUUUCUACACUGUUGCAUUAUAAAUAGUAUGGCUAUAAAUACCUUUGCAAGUCUUUUAUUUUGUAUUAUUUCCUCAAAGGGAAUGAAUUUAUACUCCCUGACCCACUUGCCUCUAAAGUGGGUCAGGGAGUGUCUAUAUAGAGCUCUUGUUGCAUAUUUCCAAACUGUUCCUAGAACCACCUCACCAAAAUAAAUUCCAGAUGGAUUAGAGUUAGAUACUAAAAAAAAAAAAAACCCAUAAAAAUCUAAAGGAAAACAAACAAAAAUAAGUAAUAUAAUCAUUGGAGAUGAAAGGGCUUUCUAAGUUUAAAAGGGAAAUAAGCAUUCAAGAAAAGAUUGAUCGAUUUGAUUAAAAAAGCCACACUGAGCUGAGGAAAGACUUUCCUGUGGUGACAAGAGAAAUAUACUUUUACGCAAAGGCUAAUGGCCUCUGCAUUCCAAGGACAUGUAGGCAAUGAAAUCCUUUCCCAGGAAUAUCACAGAAAUAGUGUGUACUGUGUGGGACAAAAUAUACUCCGCUUGGAAACCAGCAUGAGAAAACACUCAGUUUGCCUGAAAUGAACAUUGUGGCUAAACAGUUCAACUAAGUCUGGUGCUGCAGUUCUAAAGUUUUUAAAAAUUAAGAGACUAUCUGGUGAAAGAUGUUGAUGGAUAAGGUGCCAAAGUAUAAAAGUAUUAAAAUUCUUACUGUAUCAUUAAAUGGAAAAGGAAAACAAUAUUGUUCCAAAGAAAUGAAAGAUAUGAGUAGACAAAUCACAAGGGUGCAAUUGAUUAUUAAACAAUUGAUAAAGAUUUACUAAUCAAAGAAAUGCACAUUUAAAAGAAGACAUGUUUUUUCCAUCUAUCAAGUUAGCUGACUUGAAAAAUGUACAAUAUCCAGGAUUAGAAAAAAAGUGCUGUUGUAGAAAGGGUGACUAACCCACUGGCCGUAGG
This 3540-nucleotide long non-coding RNA is filed under the name Sus scrofa (pig). Its description in RNAcentral is "lncRNA (ENSSSCG00065059626.1)". Lineage: Eukaryota; Metazoa; Chordata; Mammalia; Artiodactyla; Suidae. The record is from RNAcentral.